RNAcentral lists this long non-coding RNA (817 nucleotides) under Amphimedon queenslandica. RNAcentral's name for it is "uncharacterized LOC109582803, transcript variant X3". Lineage: Eukaryota; Metazoa; Porifera; Demospongiae; Haplosclerida; Niphatidae. The record is from RNAcentral.
GAUGGAGAAGAGUCAGCCUCGGAGUCAGCACUCUUGUAAUAAUGUUUCAUUUGAAUUUCUAUUUCAGAGAGUGAUUUGAUACAUUUCACCUUUCAAUUUCCAUAGUCCGUGGCUCCGUGUUACAACACACACGCUGUCACUGGCAGAACAUAAUGAUAAGUUGUCUGUUUUCAAUAAGAAAAUCAAAAAAUAUAUUCAAGAGCUGAAGUCCCACACUCCAAUAGAACAUGUUGAUUAUGCAGCACUGUCUGAAAUAGGAACUGAAUUGGCACAAAGGUGUGACAGAUGAAGUGUUGUAUUCUGAAAACAUUCGUAACGUUCUUAAAAUAGAGUCCAAAAUAGAAGUAGGUUGCCCUGUGCUCUUAGACAAGGAGCAGGCAUUAGUUAGAAAGGGUAUUCUCUGUAUCUGGAGACAGGAUGAUAAACUGCUCACUUUCUCCAGAAAGACAAGAAGGAGGCAGAACUAUUGCUUCCUGUUUUCAAAGCAUUUCCUAGUGACACAGAGAGUAGAGAAGAAAGGAGAAGAAGGAUACCGUCUGUUGAAAGAGAACAGGUUGCUCUCACUCGCUAAAUAGUUACGUUUUCUCAGUUUUGGUCUUGAGAUUGAUGAUGGUUCACAGAGUCAGUCUAAGCAGAAGUUGAUAUUUAUUGCAAUGUCAGUGGCAGAGAAGGCACAGUGGAUAGCUGAUAUUGCUCAGUGUAUUGAAAAUGAGAAACAGAAUAAAAUACUUCAAAGCCAAAGUCAAGGGGAAUCUGUUGAGCUCAAUUCAAAGUUUAUGCGAUACAGCACAUUUAGAAGCGGAAAAGAACAACUGGU